GAUUGCACGUCUAAGCAGUAAGGCUGAGUAUUAGGCAAAUCCGGUACUCGUUAAGGCUGAGCUGUGAUGGGGAGAAGACAUUGAGUCUUCGAGUCGUUGAUUUCACACUGCCGAGAAAAGCCUCUAGAUAGAAAAUAGGUGCCCGUACCGCAAACCGACACAGGUAGUCAAGAUGAGAAUUCUAAGGUGAGCGAGCGAACUCUCGUUAAGGAACUCGGCAAAAUGACCCCGUAACUUCGGGAGAAGGGGUGCUCUUUAGGGUUAACGCCCAGAAGAGCCGCAGUGAAUAGGCCCAAGCGACUGUUUAUCAAAAACACAGGUCUCUGCUAAACCGUAAGGUGAUGUAUAGGGGCUGACGCCUGCCCGGUGCUGGAAGGUUAAGAGGAGUGGUUAGCUUCUGCGAAGCUACGAAUCGAAGCCCCAGUAAACGGCGGCCGUAACUAUAACGGUCCUAAGGUAGCGAAAUUCCUUGUCGGGUAAGUUCCGACCCGCACGAAAGGCGUAACGAUUUGGGCACUGUCUCAACGAGAGACUCGGUGAAAUCAUAGUACCUGUGAAGAUGCAGGUUACCCGCGACAGGACGGAAAGACCCCGUGGAGCUUUACUGUAGCCUGAUAUUGAAAUUCGGCACAGCUUGUACAGGAUAGGUAGGAGCCUUUGAAACGUGAGCGCUAGCUUACGUGGAGGCGCUGGUGGGAUACUACCCUAGCUGUGUUGGCUUUCUAACCCGCACCACUUAUCGUGGUGGGAGACAGUGUCAGGCGGGCAGUUUGACUGGGGCGGUCGCCUCCUAAAAGGUAACGGAGGCGCUCAAAGGUUCCCUCAGAAUGGUUGGAAAUCAUUCAUAGAGUGUAAAGGCAUAAGGGAGCUUGACUGCGAGACCUACAAGUCGAGCAGGGUCGAAAGACGGACUUAGUGAUCCGGUGGUUCCGCAUGGAAGGGCCAUCGCUCAACGGAUAAAAGCUACCCCGGGGAUAACAGGCUUAUCUCCCCCAAGAGUUCACAUCGACGGGGAGGUUUGGCACCUCGAUGUCGGCUCAUCGCAUCCUGGGGCUGUAGUCGGUCCCAAGGGUUGGGCUGUUCGCCCAUUAAAGCGGUACGCGAGCUGGGUUCAGAACGUCGUGAGACAGUUCGGUCCCUAUCCGUCGUGGGCGUAGGAAAUUUGAGAGGAGCUGUCCUUAGUACGAGAGGACCGGGAUGGACAUACCUCUGGUGUACCAGUUGUCGUGCCAACGGCAUAGCUGGGUAGCUAUGUGUGGACGGGAUAAGUGCUGAAAGCAUCUAAGCAUGAAGCCCCCCUCAAGAUGAGAUUUCCCAACUUCGGUUAUAAGAUCCCUCAAAGAUGAUGAGGUUAAUAGGUUCGAGGUGGAAGCAUGGUGACAUGUGGAGCUGACGAAUACUAAUCGAUCGAAGACUUAAUC
RNAcentral lists this ribosomal RNA (1421 nucleotides) under Staphylococcus aureus W41765. RNAcentral describes it as "bacterial LSU rRNA". It matches the Rfam family "Bacterial large subunit ribosomal RNA", at positions 1502 to 2925 of the family's 2925-position model. Lineage: Bacteria; Bacillati; Bacillota; Bacilli; Caryophanales; Staphylococcaceae. The record is from RNAcentral.